UGGACUAGCAGAGUAUGCUGAGGCGCUUGAGAGAAGUAUGCUGAAGGAACUAGGCAAUUUGCCCUCGUAACUUCGGAAGAAGAGGGCCCAACCUACGCGCAAGCGUUGAUUGGGGGCACAGAGCAGGGGGUAGCGACUGUUUACUAAAAACACAGGACUCUGCGAAAUCCAAAGAUGACGUAUAGGGUCUGACGCCUGCCCGGUGCCGGAAGGUUAAGAGGAGAUGUGAAAGCGUCGAAUCGUAGCCCCGGUAAACGGCGGCCGUAACGAUAACGGUCCUAAGGUAGCGAAAUUCCUUGUCGGGUAUUCCGACCUGCACGAAAGGCGUAACGACUUCCCCACUGUCUCCAGCAUAUGCUCAGCGAAGUUGAAUUCCCCGUGAAGAUGCGGGGUACCCGCGGUCAGACGGAAAGACCCCGUGCACCUUUACUGCAGCUUUGCACUGGCAUUAGGGAUGGAUUGCGUAGGAUAGGUGGUAGGCUUUGAAGUCUAGGCUCUGGCUUGGAUGGAGCCACCCUUGAAAUACCACCCUGUUUGUUCCUGAUGUCUAACCGCGAUUCGAAACAGGGUCCGGAACCAUGCAUGGCGGGCAGUUUGACUGGGGCGGUCGCCUCCCAAAGAGUAACGGAGGCGCGCAAUGGUAAGCUCAGGCCGGUCGGAAAUCGGCUGUUGAGUGCAAUGGCACAAGCUUGCCUGACUGCAAGGCUGACAAGCCAAGCAGAGUCGAAAGACGGUCAUAGUGAUCCGGUGGUCCCGCGUGGAAGGGCCAUCGCUCAACGGAUAAAAGGUACGCCGGGGAUAACAGGCUGAUGAUCCCCAAGAGUCCAUAUCGACGGGAUCGUUUGGCACCUCGAUGUCGGCUCAUCACAUCCUGGGGCUGGAGCAGGUCCCAAGGGUAUGGCUGUUCGCCAUUUAAAGUGGUACGUGAGCUGGGUUUAGAACGUCGUGAAACAGUUCGGUCCCUAUCUGUCGUGGGUGUUCGAGACUUGAGAGGAUUUCUUCCUAGUACGAGAGGACCGGAAGGAACGCACCUCUGGUGGAUCGGUUGUCGCGCCAGCGGCACUGCCGAGUAGCUAUGUGCGGAAUAGAUAACCGCUGAAAGCAUCUAAGCGGGAAACUAACCUCAAAACCAGGUCUCGCUGAGAGCCGUGGAAGACUACCACGUUGAUAGGCUGGGCGUGUAAGCGCAGCAAUGCGUUGAGCUUACCAGUCCUAAUCGCAC
Molecule: ribosomal RNA, 1222 nt
Filed under: metagenome
Description: bacterial LSU rRNA
Rfam family: Bacterial large subunit ribosomal RNA
Source: RNAcentral